UGCUCCGUCUUCCACCUGUUGUGGGCACCGCAGAGGUUUGGCCACAGUGGGGGCAGGGACACCGGCAUCCUCUGGGGCUGGCGCCAUGCCCAGCAGCUGUGGCCACCUAAGCGAUAUUUUCAUGUGGCUCACAGACCUGGGGAGUUUCAUCUGGCAAGGGAUGUCAAGGAGAACAAGAAGGGCUUCUUUAAAUACAUCGGUAACAAAAGGAAAAGUAGGGGGAAAGGUGGGCCUGCUGCUGAAUGGGGAAGGGGCCUUCAGGACAGAGAAUACAGAAAAGGCCGAGGUACUGAAUGCCUUCCUUGCUUCAGUCUUUAACAUUAUGCACAGGCCAAGAAACCAAAACAACAAAGCUGUGCAAUGCAGACCUACACAGAAACAGUGUACAGGGACACCGGGGAAAAAGACAUGACCCCUGAUGUGAUCAUGCAGCCCUUGGCCUCAUGCUAGUGCAGAGCUGACCCCACAACACAGCGCUACUGCUCUGUUAAGGCACUACUGACAUGCCCCAGAUGAGCACAGUGUCCCUGUGGAGAUGGUGACCCCCACACUGUCCCUUCAGAGGCAUCCCCUCAUGACCCUUUAGGACUCACAGCUGGAAACAGAGAUGAGAUGAUCCUGGCCUCUGCUCCUCCUGGCAUCUCUCCUGCCCCACAGCCUCACUCUUCAGUGCCGUCCGUAGCUCUAGCAGCAGUGUUUCUUCCAAACGCUCCCCUCUGGCCCCAGUCUCACCCAGGCCCUUUCUGCAGUUUCUCUCUUCCUCCCAUCGCUAACUCCUCCCUCCAUCCCUCUCUCUCUACACCUCUUUUUGCUGAAAUCCCACAGAAAAUUAAUGGGGAUGGGGGAGGGGGGGAUGACUAGGACAGGAGAUAGCACACACUCUCACCGCCCUCAGCUCUCCCUAUGCCUCCUGAGGGAAAAGUUGACCAGGAAAACCUCAGGCAGAGAAGGCCCUGAGGGCCUCUGCCCUUUCCGUGGGGUUCAGUAUACUGAAUUAUUAACAGAUUUUGCCUUUCCAUUUUUCAUUUCUCUGCAGCAAAAAAUAGUGCACUCAGCUUUACACACUGCAUUUAUGAGGCAUCAUCUCCUCUCUGAAGUCUGGUUUCAAAGCUAGAAGUUGUGAAUGAAUACCUUCCUUUUGGAAAAGCUCUGAAGCAGGGAGUGUUUGAGGUAGAUUAAUGCAUGGGAGAGGAAGAGCUGCAAGUCACUGAACACUCUCAGGGUGGGAGAAAUCUUCACAGCCCUUGACACGUCUCUCAAGUCCAGAGGAAGCAAAUGUCCAACAGCAGCUCCUUCAAUGAGUUCCUCCUCCUGGCCUUCGCGGACAUGCGGGAGCUGCAGCUCUUGCACUUCUCACUCUUCCCGGGCAUCUACCUGGCUGCCCUCCUGGGAAAUGGACUCAUCAUCACAGUCGUAGCCUGAGACCACCGCCUCCACUCCCUAUGUACUUCUUCCUCCUCAAUCUAUCCCUCCUUGAUCUUGGCUCCAUCUCUACUACUGUCAGUGGGGAUGUAUGGAGCGCUGCCUGAGGAGAGGUGAGGGCUUAGCUGAGAGCAGGAUUAGUGGACAGACCAGCAGGGGUGACAUUGUAGUGGGUGUCUGCUGUUGACCACCUGGUCAGGAAGAAGAAGUAGCCGAGGCCUUCUUCAGAGAAUUGGAAGAAGCUUCCUGUUUGCAAGCCCCGGUCCUCAUGGGGACUUCAAGCCCCCUGAUAUAUGCUGGAGACACCCCACAGCAGGGCACAAGCAAUCCAGGAGGUUUCUGGAGUGCACUGAUGACAACUUCCUAACACAGGUGAUGGAGGAGCCAGUGAGGAGAGGUGCUCUGUUGGACCUCAUACUUACAACAAAGGAAGAGCCGAUUGGAGAUGUGAAAUUCAGGGGCAGUCUUGGCUGCAGCACCCAUGAGAUGGUGGAGUUCAGGGUCCUGUGAGGAGGAAGCAGGGCAAAAAGCAGGAUCACCACCCUGGACUUCAGGAGAGCAGACUUCAGCCUGUUCAGGGAGCUGCUUUGGAGAAUCUCUGGGAAUACAGGAGGGAGGAGGGGUCCAAGAGCAUCUACCGAUAUUCAAGGAUCACCUCCUCCAGGCUCAAGCAUGGUCUAGCCCAACAAGCAGGAAAUCUAGCAAAGGCUUGAUCGAGAAAGUACUUGAAAAGAACGGCUUAGAGCUGAACAGAAGAUCGAACUCUUCUCCAUGGCAAUAUUGAUAAUUUUUAUAUAUGUAGAGUUACUGAAACAGUUUGUUUAAAGAGUAAGCUUCUCUUUUGUUACCUUUUCUUCACAUGCUAAUGGUCGCCUAAAACUGUCAGUGUUUACAUGGCUCAAGAUUACCAGUGAACCUUUUUAUCUUGUGCUAAAAUGGGAAAGUAAGAUUUAUUUAAAGUGACUUUGGCCUGGAACAUUUAUGAUGAAGCCUGUACCUCAUGCUACCCUGAUUAUUCUAUUGAAAUUUGUUAUGAGGGCAUCAAUGAGUCAGUGAGUCAUCAAGCUCUAAUGCCUUCCUCAGUGAACAAAGAAACUGUGUCUGGCAGAAGACAGGGCUGUGACUGAGGACAUGAUGGAAAGAGGAAGUUUUGCAUUAGUUUUGUCACUUUGGUGUGUCUCCCUUGGGACACUAUUGUCCUUUACCCGUGUACCUAGUUCAUCAGAUUUUAAGAUGAAACAAUUCUGCCAAAUGGAGUUGUCUCUUUGUGCUAGCACAGAUGUCUGCUCUGGAGCUUUCUUCUAGGCUCUAAGGAGACAAGAGAUGUGCUAGGGACAUGCAGCGUUAUAGGGAACACAUUCUCAUGAUUCAUUUAUUUUACCUUCAUGUGAGCCAUAGUUUCUGGUACUGGGAAUCAUGCCAGGGCUGCUAGGGAAGACACCAAUCCUAGACAAAGGUGCAAAGGCCUGAAGAGGUUGCUUUUUAGGGAUUUAAUCUCUUUGGAGGCUUACAUGCUCACAUUUCUAUUCAUUCCUGGUUCUGAAACAACUUUUCAAAUGAGCUUAAUGGUCAGAUGAUAAAGUAUUUGAAUAGUU
This is a long non-coding RNA of Dromaius novaehollandiae (emu), 3017 nucleotides long. RefSeq lists it as uncharacterized. NCBI's taxonomy places the organism in Eukaryota, Metazoa, Chordata, Aves, Casuariiformes, Dromaiidae. The transcript is spliced from 2 exons. The record is from RefSeq and is a predicted model, not a curated record.